Molecule: transfer RNA, 81 nt
Filed under: Gemmata obscuriglobus
Lineage: Bacteria; Pseudomonadati; Planctomycetota; Planctomycetia; Gemmatales; Gemmataceae
Description: tRNA-Glu
Source: RNAcentral
CGAACCGUUCGAGGGGGUGGACGCGAUCACCUCUCGGGUGAUCCGCGACUUACUGGCCGGGUUCGUGGCCCGCGGCUCGAC